AUUGAACGCUGGCGGCAUGCCUUACACAUGCAAGUCGAACGGUAACGGGCCUUCGGGUGCCGACGAGUGGCGAACGGGUGAGUAAUACAUCGGAACGUGCCCGAUCGUGGGGGAUAACGAGGCGAAAGCUUUGCUAAUACCGCAUACGAUCUACGGAUGAAAGCAGGGGACCGCAAGGCCUUGCGCGGACGGAGCGGCCGAUGGCAGAUUAGGUAGUUGGUGGGAUAAAAGCUUACCAAGCCGACGAUCUGUAGCUGGUCUGAGAGGAUGAUCAGCUACACUGGGACUGAGACACGGCCCAGACUCCUACGGGAGGCAGCAGUGGGGAAUUUUGGACAAUGGGCGCAAGCCUGAUCCAGCCAUGCCGCGUGCAGGAUGAAGGCCUUCGGGUUGUAAACUGCUUUUGUACGGAACGAAAAGCCUUCUUUUAAUACAGGAGGGUCAUGACGGUACCGUAAGAAUAAGCACCGGCUAACUACGUG
RNAcentral lists this ribosomal RNA (482 nucleotides) under uncultured bacterium. Its description in RNAcentral is "partial 16S ribosomal RNA". It matches the Rfam family "Bacterial small subunit ribosomal RNA", at positions 30 to 507 of the family's 1533-position model. The record is from RNAcentral.